Molecule: unclassified non-coding RNA, 1180 nt
Filed under: Hevea brasiliensis (rubber tree)
Lineage: Eukaryota; Viridiplantae; Streptophyta; Magnoliopsida; Malpighiales; Euphorbiaceae
Source: RNAcentral
GGAGAAGCCAGAGUCCUCAAGCUCAAUGGCAGAGGCAGAACAAGAGCCAAGUUACACAGCUCAUCAUUUGACGAUUCCACUAGGAUUGAAUCAGUCCGAGUUGGAUGAGUUAGCUCCACUCAUCUCUGAGUUCCACACCUAUAGAAUCGGCCCAGGCCAAUGUUCUUCUCUAUUAGCCCAACGCAUAAACGCACCAAACGACAUCAUCUGGUCCAUAGUCCGUUGUUUCGACAAGCCUCAGACCUAUAAGCACUUUAUCAAGAGCUGCACCGUGGAGCCAGGUUUCACAAUGAGGGUGGGGUCCACCCGUAAUGUCAACGUGAUAUCCGGUUUACCGGCUGCCACCAGUACGGAGAGGCUCGACAUCCUGGACGAUGACCGACAAGUCAGCGGUUUUACUAUCAUUGGCGGGGAGCACAGGCUUAGGAAUUACCGGUCGGUGACCACUGUGCAUGGAUUCGAACGCGACGGCGGGAUCUGGACCGUUGUUUUAGAAUCGUACGUCGUCGAUGUCCCGGAAGGCAAUACCGAAGAGGACACACGGCUCUUUGCCGAUACAGUUGUGAAGUUGAACCUCCAGAAAUUGGCAUCUGUCGCCGAGGCGCGUGAUGCUGACGGUAAAUCACAGGUAAUUUAAGAAAAGACAAACAAAAAACAAAGUUAUUUUUUGAACUGUUUUCUUUUUCUUUUUUUUUUUUCACUUCCAUGUUCGUGAUUAUGUUUUCUGCUGUUCGAUGGGCCCAAUCAAUUGAAUUUACGAAAAUGCCCUAUUGUUGGAAGGCAGUUGACUUGGAUGCCACGUGAUUUUCUUGUGGGGUUAGUCUUGUAUGAUCCGAUCCCACGGUGAUGCUGUGUUGGAAAUUGGAAUUGUGAGUUUAGAAGGCGAAGGCAUUAUAGUCAAAUGGUCAUGUACAGACAUGUUGAGUUUUGAGCAAAACGUUGUCGUUUUAAAUAAAUUUUCCUUUUCCCUCAUAGUGCCUGAAUUUGUAUAAAAUCGGAAGGAAAAACGAAAGAAAGGUUUCUUCUGGUGGAGGUAUUGAGUUUUUAUUUUUCUCUUUAUAAAUAAAUAAUUUUCUUUUCUUUUUUAAAAAAGUAAGAACACUGUAGUAACGUCGGCAUCUCCAAGUGAGCAUGAUUCAUAUAGGCUGAGUUUAGUAUUGGUGGAAUCUAUGCUUUUGAC